RNAcentral lists this ribosomal RNA (407 nucleotides) under uncultured bacterium. Its description in RNAcentral is "bacterial SSU rRNA". It matches the Rfam family "Bacterial small subunit ribosomal RNA", at positions 36 to 488 of the family's 1533-position model. The record is from RNAcentral.
CUGGCGGCACGCCUAACACAUGCAAGUCGAACGAAGUAGCAAUACUUAGUGGCAGACGGGUGAGUAACAUGUAGGUAUCUACCCUUUGGCCUGGAAUAACACGAGGAAACUUGUGCUAAUACCGGAUAAGUCUUUACGGAGAAAGCUUUAUGCACCAUUGGAUGAGCCUGCAUUUGAUUAGUUUGUUGGUAGGGUAAUGGCCUACCAAGACUUUGAUCAAUAGCUGAUUUGAGAGGAUGAUCAGCCACAUUGGGACUGAGACACGGCCCAAACUCCUACGGGAGGCAGCAGUGGGGAAUCUUGCACAAUGGAGGAAACUCUGAUGCAGCGAUGCCGCGUGAGUGAAGAAGGCCUUUGGGUUGUAAAGCUCUUUCGUCGGGGAAGAAAAUGACUGUACCCGAAUAAGA